This 496-nucleotide long non-coding RNA is filed under the name Populus trichocarpa (black cottonwood). RNAcentral describes it as "long non-coding RNA (PTRI_LNC001085)". Lineage: Eukaryota; Viridiplantae; Streptophyta; Magnoliopsida; Malpighiales; Salicaceae. The record is from RNAcentral.
AACAACAUGGACAGCCCACAAAGAAUAUCCAUUAAAGAACCUCAAGUAAUCCUCUCUCCAUGCAGCAGUGCUAGAAGGAGGAGGAGAACAAGCACUUGUUCAAACUCACCCGAAUUCGAGUUCUGGAUGGUCAGAAACCCAUCUUUCCCUCAACCAAAUCUUGUUUCUGCUGAUGAGCUCUUUGUUGAUGGUGUCCUCCUCCCUCUCCACCUCCUCCACCAACCCAACAACAACACUAACAACAGCCACCCUGACCCUGACCCUGACUCACCCGAACCCGAACCACCCAACGCUCAACCUGACCCUGGACCAGAAAUUUCACCAGCAAGCAUAACCAUAGAGCCAACCUCAAGCUCAAAGAGAUGGAAAGAUAUGAUAUUCAAGAAAGGUGACAAGAAAACUUCAACAGCAGCCAAGAAACAAGAAGAAAAGGAUAAGGACAGAGACAGAGACAAGAAGAGAGAGAAAAGGAGUCAGAGUGGAGCGAGUUCAGCUG